This 737-nucleotide ribosomal RNA is filed under the name uncultured soil archaeon. RNAcentral's name for it is "bacterial SSU rRNA". It matches the Rfam family "Archaeal small subunit ribosomal RNA", at positions 1 to 748 of the family's 1478-position model. The record is from RNAcentral.
UCUGGUUGAUCCUGCCAGACCCGACUGCUAUCAGAGUGGGACUAAGCCAUGCGAGUCAACGUAGAAAUACGUGGCAAACGUCUCAGUAACACGUAGUCAACAUGCCCAGGGGACGUGGAUAACCUCGGGAAACUGAGGAUAAACCGCGAUAGGCCAUGAUUUCUGGAAUGGUUCAUGGCCGAAAUCUAUAUGGCCCCUGGAUUGGACUGCGACCGACCAGGCUGUUGGUGAGGUAAUGGCCCACCAAACCUGUAACCGGUACGGGCUCUGAGAGGAGGAGCCCGGAGAUGGGCACUGAGACAAGGGCCCAGGCCCUAUGGGGCGCAGCAGGCGCGAAAUCUCUGCAAUAGGCGAAAGCUUGACAGGGUUACUCUGAGUGAUUCCCGCUAAGGGGAUCUUUUGGCACCUUUAAAAAUGGUGCAGAAUAAGGGGUGGGCAAGUCUGGUGUCAGCCGCCGCGGUAAUACCAGCACCCCGAGUGGUCGGGACGAUUAUUGGGCCUAAAGCAUCCGUAGCCGGUACUGCAAGUCUUCCGUUAAAUCCACCUGCUUAACAGUUGGGCUGCGGGGGAUACUACAGCGCUAGGAGGCGGGAGAGGCAAGCGGUACUCAAUGGGUAGGGGUAAAAUCCGCUGAUCCAUUGAAGACCACCAGUGGCGAAGGCGGCUUGCCAGAACGCGCUCGACGGUGAGGGAUGAAAGCUGGGGGAGCAAACCGGAUUAGAUACCCGGGUAGUCCC